RNAcentral lists this small nuclear RNA (164 nucleotides) under Echinops telfairi (small Madagascar hedgehog). RNAcentral's name for it is "U1 spliceosomal RNA (ENSETEG00000021030.1)". It matches the Rfam family "U1 spliceosomal RNA". From Rfam's summary of the family: U1 is a small nuclear RNA (snRNA) component of the spliceosome (involved in pre-mRNA splicing). Lineage: Eukaryota; Metazoa; Chordata; Mammalia; Afrosoricida; Tenrecidae. The record is from RNAcentral.
AUACUUACCUGGCAGGGGAGACACCAUGAUCACGAAGGUGAUUUUCCCAGGGCGAGGCUCACCCAGUACACUCCGGAUGUGCUGACCCCUGUGAUUUCCCCAAAUGUGGGAAACUCGACUGCAUAAUUUGUGGUAAUGGGGGACUGCGUUAGCACUCUCCCCUG